This 466-nucleotide ribosomal RNA is filed under the name Actinomyces sp. oral taxon 171. RNAcentral describes it as "bacterial SSU rRNA". It matches the Rfam family "Bacterial small subunit ribosomal RNA", at positions 28 to 471 of the family's 1533-position model. Lineage: Bacteria; Bacillati; Actinomycetota; Actinomycetes; Actinomycetales; Actinomycetaceae. The record is from RNAcentral.
GACGAACGCUGGCGGCGUGCUUAACACAUGCAAGUCGAACGGUGAAGGGGCCUGCUUUUGUGGGUCCUGGAUGAGUGGCGAACGGGUGAGUAACACGUGAGUAACCUGCCCCCUUCUUCUGGAUAACCGCAUGAAAGUGUGGCUAAUACGGGAUAUUCUGUGCCUGCUGCAUGGUGGGUGUGGGAAAGAUUGCGCCCUUUUUGGGUGUUUUUGGUGGGGGAUGGGCUCGCGGCCUAUCAGCUGUUGGUGGGGUGAUGGCCUACCAAGGCGGUGACGGGUAGCCGGCCUGAGAGGGUGGACGGUCACACUGGGACUGAGACACGGCCCAGACUCCUACGGGAGGCAGCAGUGGGGAAUAUUGCACAAUGGGCGCAAGCCUGAUGCAGCGACGCCGCGUGAGGGAUGGAAGGGCUUCGGGUUGUGAACCUCUUUCGCCAGUGAAGCAGGCCUGCUCCUUGGUGGGUGG